GAAGACCGAGGAGGCGGGGCAGGCGGGCGCCGUUGCUUAGCUAGUUUGUCCGGAGCUGUGCUUGGGAACCUGGGGUUGCGGAUUCACUCUUCCUGAUGAUCCCCACUGGCAGGGGCUGGGCGGGGAACGAGAGCCGAGAGCCGCGGCACCUCGCUGGCACCUUCCAGGCUGCCUACUGAGGCCUUGAGCUGGGCCCCAUCUCGCGCUCCACUGCGUCCUCGCGCACCCCUAGCGCCCAUAGCCGACCCCUGUCCUGCCCAGAGGGUCCAGGUCCCAUCUGUCCCCGUCCCCACGGCGGCCACAAGGCCCCAUCGCCUCUAGCCGCCACUGUGGUCCGUGGAGGUGGUUGGUUACCAUGGUGAAGCUGGCAGCCAAAUGCAUUCUGGCAGGAGACCCCGCGGUGGGCAAGACCGCCCUGGCGCACAUCUUCCGCAGCGACGGGGCCCACUUCCAGAAGAGCUACACCCUGACCACGGGGGUGGACCUGGUGGUGAAGACGGUGCCGGUUCCCGACACGGGGGACAGCGUGGAGCUCUUCAUUUUUGACUCUGCCGGCAAGGAGCUGUUUUCUGAGAUGCUGGAUAAGUUGUGGGAGGGCCCCGACGUCCUGUGUCUCGUGUACGACGUGACCAACGAGCAGUCCUUCGGCAGCUGCGGCAAGUGGCUGGAGAAGGCGCAGGUGCAGGUUCCCGGCGCCUCCCUCCCAGGUGUGCUGGUGGGCAACAAGACGGACCUGGCCAGCAGACGGGUGGUGCAGUCGGCACAGGCCCGCGCCUGGGCCCUGGGCCAAGGCCUGGAGUGCUUUGAAACAUCGGUGAUGUGGUUCCUGGCCCUCUGUCCUUGCUGGGACCCAGCGCCCCCUGCAGACUGUCCCUGCAGAGUCCCGCUAGGAGCGCUCCAGCCUGGGAGGGCCAGGGCAGGGCAGCUGCAGCCUCAGUGGACAGAGGAGCAAUGCUGCUGUCCCAGUGAACCCGCUCCCGGCGCGGACACCGAAUAGCCAGCCUCCGUCACCCCUCGGUUCUUCCCUAAGCCUCCAGCCUUGGGCUUUCUCGUGGGACCUCCCGCUGAGCUAGAGAAGGAGAUGGAGAACUGGGAAGCACCCUUCCAGCAUCUGGCCCGGCAGUUCCACCAGCUGUACCGGGAGAAGGUGGAGAUCUUCGGCGCGCUCGUGUGAGGGGCUGCGUGCUGCUGGCGACC
Molecule: RNA transcript, 1197 nt
Organism: Phyllostomus discolor (pale spear-nosed bat)
Lineage: Eukaryota; Metazoa; Chordata; Mammalia; Chiroptera; Phyllostomidae
Gene: IFT27
Gene name: intraflagellar transport 27
Exons: 8
Source: RefSeq, a predicted model, not a curated record